AGUGAACGCUGGCGGUAGGCCUAACACAUGCAAGUCGAACGGCAGCACAGUAAGAGCUUGCUCUUACGGGUGGCGAGUGGCGGACGGGUGAGGAAUACAUCGGAAUCUACUUUUUCGUGGGGGAUAACGUAGGGAAACUUACGCUAAUACCGCAUACGACCUACGGGUGAAAGCAGGGGAUCUUCGGACCUUGCGCGAUUGAAUGAGCCGAUGUCGGAUUAGCUAGUUGGCGGGGUAAAGGCCCACCAAGGCGACGAUCCUUAGCUGGUCUGAGAGGAUGAUAGGCCACACUGGAACUGAGACACGGUCCAGACUCCUACGGGAGGCAGCAGUGGGGAAUAUUGGACAAUGGGCGGAAGCCUGAUCCAGCCAUACCGCGUGGGUGAAGAAGGCCUUCGGGUUGUAAAGCCCUUUUGUUGGGAAAGAAAAGCAGCAGGUUAAUACCCCGCUGUUCUGACGGUACCCAAAGAAUAAGCACCGGCUAACUUCGUG
This 492-nucleotide ribosomal RNA is filed under the name uncultured bacterium. RNAcentral's name for it is "partial 16S ribosomal RNA". It matches the Rfam family "Bacterial small subunit ribosomal RNA", at positions 29 to 507 of the family's 1533-position model. The record is from RNAcentral.